UACGGAGGAUCCGAGCGUUAUCCGGAUUUAUUGGGUUUAAAGGGUGCGUAGGCGGACUGAUAAGUCAGCUGUGAAAGUUUGCGGCUCAACCGUAAAAUUGCAGUUGAAACUGUCAGUCUUGAGUGUACAUAAGGUAGGCGGAAUUCGUGGUGUAGCGGUGAAAUGCUUAGAUAUCACGAAGAACUCCAAUUGCGAAGGCAGCUUACCGGGGUACAACUGACGCUGAGGCACGAAAGCGUGGGUAUCAAACAGGAUUAGAUACCCUGGUAGUCCACGCAGUAAACGAUGAAUACUCGCUGUUGGCGAUAUACCGUCAGCGGCUAAGCGAAAGCAUUAAGUAUUCCACCUGGGGAGUACGCCGGCAACGGUGAAACUCAAAGGAAUUGACGGGGGCCCGCACAAGCGGAGGAACAUGUGGUUUAAUUCGAUGAUACGCGAGGAACCUUACCCGGGCUUAAAUUGCACAGGAAUAAUUUGGAAACAGAUUAGUCUUCGGACCUGUGUGAAGGUGCUGCAUGGUUGUCGUCAGCUCGUGCCGUGAGGUGUCGGCUUAAGUGCCAUAACGAGCGCAACCCUAAUGAUUAGUUGCUAACAGGUGAUGCUGAGCACUCUAGUCAGACUGCCGUCGUAAGAUGUGAGGAAGGAUGGGAUGACGUCAAAUCAGCACGGCCCUUACGUCCGGGGCUACACACGUGUUACAGUGGGGAGUACAGAGGGCAGCCACCUGGCAACAGGGCGCUAAUCCGUAAAAGCUCCUCUCAGUUCGGAUCGAAGUCUGCAACUCGACUUCGUGAAGCUGGAUUCGCUAGUAAUCGCGCAUCAGCCAUGGCGCGGUGAAUACGUUCCCGGGCCU
RNAcentral lists this ribosomal RNA (853 nucleotides) under uncultured bacterium. RNAcentral's name for it is "SSU rRNA". It matches the Rfam family "Bacterial small subunit ribosomal RNA", at positions 524 to 1381 of the family's 1533-position model. The record is from RNAcentral.